AUUGAACGCUGGCGGCAUGCCUUACACAUGCAAGUCGAACGGCAGCACGGGAGCAAUCCUGGUGGCGAGUGGCGAACGGGUGAGUAAAGUAUCGGAACGUGCCCAGUCGUGGGGGAUAACGUAGCGAUAGUUACGCCAAUACCGCAUACGAUCUAUGGAUGAAAGCGGGGGAUCGCAAGACCUCGCGCGAUUGGAGCGGCGGAUAUCCGAUUAGGUAGUUGGUGGGGUAAAGGCUCGCCAAGCCAACGAUCUGUAGCUGGUCUGAGAGGACGACCAGCCACACUGGAACUGAGACACGGUCCAGACUCCUACGGGAGGUAGCAGUGGGGAAUUUUGGACAAUGGGCGAAAGCCUGAUCCAGCCAUUCCGCGUGCAGGAUGAAGGCCCUCGGGUUGUAAACUGCUUUUGUACAGAACGAAAAGGUUUCUACUAAUACUAGGAGCUCAUGACGGUACUGUAAGAAUAAGUACCGGCUAACUACGUGCCAGCCGCCGCCGUAA
Molecule: ribosomal RNA, 500 nt
Filed under: uncultured bacterium
Lineage: Bacteria
Description: partial 16S ribosomal RNA
Rfam family: Bacterial small subunit ribosomal RNA
Source: RNAcentral